AUUGAACGCUGGCGGCAGGCUUAACACAUGCAAGUCGAGCGGGGGGAGGUAGCUUGCUACCGGACCUAGCGGCGGACGGGUGAGUAAUGCUUAGGAAUCUGCCUAUUAGUGGGGGACAACAUCUCGAAAGGGAUGCUAAUACCGCAUACGUCCUACGGGAGAAAGCAGGGGAUCUUCGGACCUUGCGCUAAUAGAUGAGCCUAAGUCGGAUUAGCUAGUUGGUGGGGUAAAGGCCUACCAAGGCGACGAUCUGUAGCGGGUCUGAGAGGAGGGUCCGCCACGCGGGGACUGAGACACCGCCCAGACUCCUACGGGAGGCAGCAGUGGGGAAUAUUGGACAAUGGGGGGAACCCUGAUCUAGCCAUGCCGCGUGUGUGAGGAAGGCCUUAUGGUUGUAAAGCACUUUAAGCGAGGAGGAGGCUACUUUAGUUAAUACCUAGAGAUAGUGGACGUUACUCGCAGAAUAAGCACCGGCUAACUCUGUGCCAGCAGCCGCAGUAA
RNAcentral lists this ribosomal RNA (501 nucleotides) under uncultured bacterium. RNAcentral's name for it is "partial 16S ribosomal RNA". It matches the Rfam family "Bacterial small subunit ribosomal RNA", at positions 30 to 523 of the family's 1533-position model. The record is from RNAcentral.